RNAcentral lists this ribosomal RNA (460 nucleotides) under uncultured bacterium. Its description in RNAcentral is "partial 16S ribosomal RNA". It matches the Rfam family "Bacterial small subunit ribosomal RNA", at positions 338 to 795 of the family's 1533-position model. The record is from RNAcentral.
CCUACGGGCGGCAGCAGUGAGGAAUAUUGGUCAAUGGACGCAAGUCUGAACCAGCCAUGCAGCGUGCAGGAAGACGGCGCUAUGAGUUGUAAACUGCUUUUGUAAGAGGGUAAAUCACGAGACGGGGAUCGGGUGGAAAGUAACGUACGAAUAAGGAGCGGCUAACUCCGUGCCAGCAGCCGCGGUAAUACGGAGGAUUCAAGCGUUAUCCGGAUUUAUUGGGUUUAAAGGGUGCGUAGGCGGUUCGAUAAGUUAGAGGUGAAAUCCCGGGGCUCAACUCCGGCACUGCCUCUGAUACUGUCGGGCUAGAGUUUAGUUGCGGUAGGCGGAAUGUAUGGUGUAGCGGUGAAAUGCAUAGAGAUCAUACAGAACACCGAUUGCGAAGGCAGCUUACCAAACUCCCCCUGACGUUGAGGCACGAACGCGUGGGGAGCAAACAGGAUUAGAUACCCUAGUAGUC